Zootermopsis nevadensis is the source of this 4446-nucleotide RNA transcript. It is a transcript of the gene named apoptotic chromatin condensation inducer acinus, with no coding region annotated. The record is from RefSeq and is a predicted model, not a curated record. NCBI's taxonomy places the organism in Eukaryota, Metazoa, Arthropoda, Insecta, Blattodea, Termopsidae.
CGUUUCUCAAAUAUUUGUGUACGCGUAUAAAAUGUUGAAAAUGUCGGAUUGUUGAUAGGUUUCGCAAGUUACAGAAUCUACGUACAAUUUGAUACAUCUGUUGGUUGGAAGAACUUGGUUUGAACUUUUAUUUGUUUUACUCCGGUCUUGUAUUUUCAAGACAUUGACUCAAGUUGAACUGGUACUUUGACUUUUGACAAUGCGGAGAAAAAGCGACAGAACAAAGGAAAAGGAAAAACCAUCCCCAGAAAAAAAGACAGAGAAAGCAACGAGGCGAUCACGCAGACAUUCCAGGCGGAGGAAGAGGUCAUCAUCAGUUUCUGAUCAUGAUGAAUCUGCUACAGAAGAAAAUGAUACUUCAAUGAAGAGUAGUCAGGAUGAUACGGAAGAAGAACAAAAAGAUAAAAGAGGCAAGGAAGAAGUAGAUCAAGAUAAUACUGAUGUCAAGGAAAAGAAUGUUCAAGAUGAAAUUCCAAAGUUAUCUUCUAGUCGAAGAAAGAAACAGAUUACAGAUGGAACAGGUUCUAAAACUGAAGAAGCUUCCCUAAGUAAUGAUGACUGGAAGGAAGACAAAUCAUUCUGGGAAGGUGAAGAAGGCAAAUGUGAAGGCACUGAACUAAGACAUAAAGAAAAGGAUGGGAAGAGUUCUGUGUGGCAAGUGAAGAGUUCCAAUGACAGUGGAAGUAGUGGUGGUGGUGGUGAAAUACAAAAAAUUAAAUUAUGUAUAGUGAGACCAUCAGAAAGCUUGGAACCAAGCCCACGCAGACGAAAAAGAUUGAGUAGAAUGUCAAGCAGUCACAAAGAUAAAUCAGACAUUCAAGAAUGUGAAGAAGCAGAUGAUGAUCAUGGAGAAGAUGACAAGAAAAUGUCAGAAUCAUCAGAAGGAAAGCAAAAUUUGCAGGAAUCGUCAACUGAAUGUACAAAACAGAUACCAUUACAGGAUGAUGAAAAGCUGUCAUUGAGAGAAUGUACUGAACAGGCAGAUUUGUUGGAGGAGGCAUCACAACAUCUUUGUCAAGAUUUGUCUGAAGAGGGGCAGCAAACAAGGUUACAAAAUCAGGAUCAGGCUGAGGUAGUUAAUGAAAUAGUAGAUCAAGAAUCAAGAGAAAGUGAACUAAAUGUCCAAGACUCUGAUGUUAAAGAAGUUACACCAUUUCAAACAUCAUCUGAAUUUAAAGGUGAUAUUUCAUCUGAGACUUCUGGAGAGCAUCACACAGCCCAGAAAUUAUGUGAUAGGACAGUGCAACAUGAGAACUCUAAAGAAGAUAUAUCAAGUGGUGAAACACGAUCAGAAGAAUGUGUAAUGGAACAAAAAGAAAUGGAAGUGGAAGAGUCUUGCAAAGGAAAGCAGUUGGAUCAUGUUGCACCCAAGGAACUACAGAAGGAAGAAGAAGAAGGAAAACUGGACCUUCACAAUGCAGCAGAAACAGGGUCUCAGGAGGAGUUACAAAAUGUUGAGGAUUCCUCAAAAACAGUAGUGGAAGAUAAUGAAGUAAUAGUUCAGAAGUCAGAAGUUCAUGAUGCUGAAGAAGAUAAAAACAUGGCUUGUGCAGAACAGGAACAAGAUUUCACUUGUGCUUCAACUGAAGGGGAUGGAAUAUCCAUAGAAGAAGUGGUAGAAAAUAGUACAUCUGAGGAAAGACAGAAAUCAAAAAAUUCUUUGGAAGGUAGAACAGAAGAACCACAAGAAGUUGCUGAAAAGAUUGAUUCAUUUGAAGAGAGGUUAGUUGCUCAUAAAGUUGCAGAUCCUCUAGAAGAGGGACAGGUUCGAGAAUCAUCAGAGGAAAAUGCUGCUGAAGUGUCAAAAUCAGAGGUAAAAGUUAAUGACACACAUUCAAAAGAGGGCACUAAAGAUUUGUCAAAGGACAGAUCAAACAAACAAACUCCAAUAAAACGUGUUUUCCUGGAAGAAAGGUCCCGGUCUCGUGACUCAUCUGAGGAGAGACCAAGAAAUGAAAUGAAGAAACGUAGACAAAGCAGAGAAUCAAAUAGUAGCUGUAGCUUCAGCUCCAGUCCUGGGAAGCAGACACAUCGAAGGGGUGAUAGGGAGUCUAAUCAUCGGAGUAGGAUUCAGGACAAUGAACAUUCGGAUAAACAUAAUAUGAAGAGGGAGAACAACAGGAGCACUAGUUCUGAUAGACAAUAUGGCCGGCACACUCGUAGGAGGUCUCAGACUCCUCAGCAUCAAAGGGAGAAAAUUUCACUCAGGAGAUCUUUCUCAAGGCAAAGUAAUUCACAUGCAGGAGAGAAGGGUGGUACUGAAGACUCAGUGAAAGAAGUUGAUGCAUUGGGUGGUGAUACUCACUUACACAUCAAAGAAGAAAAAGAAAAUGUCCGGAAGACAUCAGAACAAACAGGGACAUCUCAGGAACCAUCUCAAAAUUUAACCCGUAGGCGCAGAUGGGGAGCUGGCAAAACAAGCAGAGCUGGGAAGAAGCCAGUACUGUCUAUAUCAACAGACUCCCUGAAGAACUUAAUUCCAGGAGCAAAGCCAGUUCCUGUAAAUGAGGUGCAGUUAUCUCAGGAGGAGGAAGAUAGGCGAGAAAGAGAAUCUGAAGAGCAUGAGAGAGAUGAAAGUGAUAAAAGGGAGAAGUCAAAAAAUAAAGACAAGGAUAGAGAUACUCAAGAAAUUGUAUUGGAUAAAAGAUGUAUGGCUCCCUUGUCUGUUUCAGAAGCUCAUAAGAUCAAUGUGGCUCUAACUGAUGAUCAUAGAGGUAAAGUUGUCACCCGCAAGAUAUCAAUUGUGUCGGAUGAUGCAAGGACACUGCAAAACUCACCAAGUCCACCAAGACAUAAAGCAUCAAAUGUUUUGUUUAUUUCAAACUUGGUGCGUCCUUUCACUGUUAAUCAGCUCAAGGAACUUUUGGCUCGUACUGGCAAUAUUGUUGAAGGUGGAUUCUGGAUAGAUAAAAUCAAGUCAAAGUGCUAUGUUCAGUAUGAAACAGAAACUGAAGCACGAGAGACCAGGCAUGCCCUUCAUGGAGUUCGAUGGCCUGUGUCAAAUCCAAAACAACUUUGUGUCGAUUUUGGCAAGAAAGAAGACAUGGACUUGGCACAAGCACUGACUGAAGAGGACCAGAUACCAAGAAAAACAGAGCCACUUAAAGUGGAGCGGACUGUCGAAGGUUGGGUUGCUGAGCAAGUCAGGGAGAAGGAGAGAGAGUGGGAAUUGAGGGAGCAGGAGCGAGAAAGGGCACGGAUGAAGGAAAGACCUCAUCAUGUCAUUCCUCCCAUGGAAGCACUUGAACGAAAUAGGAAUGUGAAGAUGUCGGCGAGUGUCAGAGAAUGGGACUUGGGUAAAAUAGGUCAGUUGUCACCUGCUGAGAAAGAACCAAAGCAUGAAGAGAAAAACAAAGAACGAGAAAGAAGAGUGCGGAGAGAGAAAACUCGCCAUAGCAGAAGCCCUUCCCCUCAUAAUGUACCUGCUCGGAAACAAAAAAAGAAGGAAGAAGAUGCUCCUGCAAAACUCUUGGAUGAUUUAUUUAGAAAGACUAAAUCCACUCCCUGCAUUUACUGGCUACCUCUCACUGCCGAACAGAUUGUUGUGAAGGAAGAGAUGCGCCGUAGGCAUAUGGCUGAACAUGAGCGCAGAAUGGCUGAGAUGAGGAAGGCAGAGAGAGAACGUCAACGCGUUAGAGCUCAGCAACGCCAACAGAGGCGAACAGGAGAGAGGGAUAAACGAAGAAGAAGGACUGCUAGUGGCAGUCCUAAGAAAUAAUUCAGUGAUAGAAAGUACUUGAAUAGUCAUAUGAAGAGUUAGUUGCAUGAUGCAACAUGGGAGUGACGAGAGGCGUGCGACUAGAUCUACCGAGCCGUCUUGGAACUUGAUACCAUCCCCUUGGCAUAUUCGGAAUUAUAACUGCCAAGGAGUCAGUUACGUCAGCUCAUGCUCGGCAGUUUUUGCAAAAUGGCAGUACAACAGGCAUCCUGGUGCACAGGGCUUGGGGGGAUCGAACAAUACAAAACCAAGGGAGGUAUUAAACAUGAGCGAUCUCCAUAACCAAGGAUCAACAUAUACAAGAAAUUUGUGAAGGAUUCUACAGUAAUGUCCAUGAACUUGGGGUAGUGGCUGCAGAGGACAUGAUCACUCAGCGACAUCUUGGGUAUUUCUCGUUGACAGUGAAGGUGUUUCAAGAACAUUUACUAUUGAUUGGUGUGCAGCAAAGAGAUUAAGUAUGUACUGUUGUCAUCCUGUUUAUGAGAACUGCAACAUUGCAAAGUAAUGUCAGAAGAAUCAUUUGCAUAAAUUGCUGUUGAAUCAUCAGAGAAGAUGAAGACCUUCAAUCAUAACCAAGUGUACCUAAAGAACAGUUGGCGUUUGUGCAUAUUAGAGAAUGUACACCCUGUGAAAUUUAUGCUUAUGAUCAAGUACAUGUAAUCUGUCUUUUAUUUUGAGCAAUGUAGAUUUACAGUGCAUUUCAAUAGAAUUGUGUUACUACACCCAAA